This 953-nucleotide unclassified non-coding RNA is filed under the name uncultured marine bacterium. Its description in RNAcentral is "partial contains 16S ribosomal RNA, 16S-23S ribosomal RNA intergenic spacer, and 23S ribosomal RNA". The stretch from base 1 to 131 matches the Rfam family "Bacterial small subunit ribosomal RNA", at positions 1403 to 1533 of the family's 1533-position model. The record is from RNAcentral.
CAUGGGAGUUGGUUCUACCCGACGACGCUGCGCUAACCUUCGGGGGGCAGGCGGCCACGGUAGGAUCAGCGACUGGGGUGAAGUCGUAACAAGGUAGCCCUAGGGGAACCUGGGGCUGGAUCACCUCCUUUCUAAGGAUGUUUCUAGCAGCUUAAGCUUGCUUUUGUUCGUGAAACACUUAGCAGAUUGGCAAACAAAGCCGAUCAUAUAUCGAACCGGACUGUCCUCAUAUCUCUUCAGUAUACAUCAGACCUACCGGUCUGUACUGGGUCGGUAGCUCAGGUGGUUAGAGCGCACGCCUGAUAAGCGUGAGGUCGGAGGUUCAAGUCCUCCUCGACCCACCAUUAACGCGUCUAUUUUAGGAUAUGGCGUGUAGGGGGCCUUAGCUCAGAUGGGAGAGCGCCUGAUUUGCAUUCAGGAGGUCAGCGGUUCGAUCCCGCUAGGCUCCACCAUAUAACAAGUUUUAAUCAGAUCGCGAAGCACAAUGGUUUGUGUUUCGCCGUCCGAUUGGACGCAUUGACAUCGUUUAGAGAGAUACAAAUAUCAACAUUGUUUGAUCGCCCGAAGUAGCGGGAUGAUCUCAAUUUGGUGAAGCAAGUUUAGGCUUGUGGAGAGCUUUUGGAUACACCCUUUUCCUCGGGUGCCCUUAAGUAUGCUGGGUUGAAACGAACAUGUUGUCCAAGUCAAGUACACUAACCCGAGCAGCAGUAAUGUUGCUCAACAGUUCAAACACACCGACAUGUGUUUGAGCGGGAAAGUAUGACUUUUGACCGGAAGAUGAGAUGCCUGGUGAACCAGCUUGGCAUCAUUCAGACGCAAGUCUGACUUUUUCUGGAUCAAAUCAAGCGCGAAAAGGGCGUUUGGUGGAUGCCUUGGCAGUAAGAGGCGAUGAAAGACGUGAUACUCUGCGAUAAGCCAUGGGGAGCUGAGAAUAAGCUUUGAUCCAUGGAUUU